This 376-nucleotide ribosomal RNA is filed under the name uncultured bacterium. Its description in RNAcentral is "bacterial SSU rRNA". It matches the Rfam family "Bacterial small subunit ribosomal RNA", at positions 523 to 898 of the family's 1533-position model. The record is from RNAcentral.
AUACGUAGGUGGCAAGCGUUGUCCGGAAUUAUUGGGCGUAAAGCGCGCGCAGGCGGGAAUGUAAGUCUGUCUUAAAAGUGCGGGGCUCAACCCCGUGAUGGGAUGGAAACUACAUUUCUUGAGUGCAGGAGAGGAAAGUGGAAUUCCCAGUGUAGCGGUGAAAUGCGUAGAUAUUGGGAGGAACACCAGUGGCGGAGGCGACUUUCUGGACUGUGUCUGACGCUGAGGCGCGAAAGCCAGGGGAGUGAACGGGAUUAGAUACCCCGGUAAUCCUGGCCGUAAACGAUGGGUACUAGGUGUAGGAGGUAUCGACCCAUUCUGUGCCGGAGUUAACGCAAUAAGUACCCCGCCUGGCGAGUACGGCCGCAAGGUUGAA